RNAcentral lists this ribosomal RNA (248 nucleotides) under uncultured Actinomycetales bacterium. RNAcentral describes it as "partial 16S ribosomal RNA". It matches the Rfam family "Bacterial small subunit ribosomal RNA", at positions 84 to 334 of the family's 1533-position model. The record is from RNAcentral. Lineage: Bacteria; Bacillati; Actinomycetota; Actinomycetes; Actinomycetales.
GGGGUGCUCGAGUGGCGAACGGGUGAGUAACACGUGAGUAACCUGCCCUUGACUUUGGGAUAACUUCAGGAAACUGGGGCUAAUACCGGAUAGGAGCUCCUGCUGCAUGGUGGGGGUUGGAAAGUUUCGGCGGUUGGGGAUGGACUCGCGGCUUAUCAGCUUGUUGGUGGGGUAGUGGCUUACCAAGGCUUUGACGGGUAGCCGGCCUGAGGGGUGACCGGCCACAUUGGGACUGAGAUACGGCCCAG